Populus euphratica (Euphrates poplar) is the source of this 605-nucleotide long non-coding RNA. RefSeq lists it as uncharacterized. The record is from RefSeq and is a predicted model, not a curated record. Lineage: Eukaryota; Viridiplantae; Streptophyta; Magnoliopsida; Malpighiales; Salicaceae. The transcript has 3 exons.
UGAAGAAAUAAAACGGUGUCUGUACCGUCUGCAAAGCAAUUGUCAUAAGAGACUCUCCCUCUCUCUCUCGCGUAUUUUUUGCUCUUUCAAAAAGGAAGAAGAAAAAAUCCUAAAUAAAUCUAUCCAGGGUUUCUAGAUCUCCUAUUUCUCUUCAACAAAAAUGGACGCCAUAGAUUCCGUCAUCGAUCCUCUCAGAGAAUUCGCUAAAGAUAGCGUCCGACUCGUCAAACGCUGCCACAAACCCGAUCAAAAAGAAUUCACGAAGGUGGCGACUCGUACUGCAAUCGGAUUCGUGGUUAUGGGAUUUGUUGGGUUCUUCGUAAAGUUGAUUUUUAUCCCAAUUAAUAACAUCAUCGUUGGUGCUUCUUAGGUGGUAUGGAUCAUCAAGAGGCAAUAUGAUAAAAAACUUAUCUUUAAUGAGGAAGCUUAGCUUUUAGCUUUGCUUAAUUUUCUUUUUGAUUUGUUUGCAAUAUUUCACAAACAAGGAAAUUAUCAAUAUCAAAACUUUUUUUAUGGUUCUUUUAGGCUCUGCAUCUGUUUGUUUGUGAUAUUCCACCAACAAGGAAAUUAUCGAUAUCAAGACUCUUUAUGAUUCUUUUAAGCUC